UUCGCAGGUGGUCCUUUAAGUCAGGUGUGAAAGGCAGUGGCUCAACCAUUGCAAGCACUUGAAACUGGAGGACUUGAGUGCAGGAGAGGAAAGCGGAAUUCCUAGUGUAGCGGUGAAAUGCGUAGAUAUUAGGAGGAACACCAGUGGCGAAGGCGGCUUUCUGGACUGUAACUGACACUGAGGAACGAAAGCGUGGGGAGCAAACA
RNAcentral lists this ribosomal RNA (206 nucleotides) under uncultured bacterium. Its description in RNAcentral is "partial 16S ribosomal RNA". It matches the Rfam family "Bacterial small subunit ribosomal RNA", at positions 568 to 774 of the family's 1533-position model. The record is from RNAcentral.